RNAcentral lists this ribosomal RNA (1336 nucleotides) under uncultured bacterium. Its description in RNAcentral is "bacterial SSU rRNA". It matches the Rfam family "Bacterial small subunit ribosomal RNA", at positions 38 to 1381 of the family's 1533-position model. The record is from RNAcentral.
GGCGGCGGGCUUAACACAUGCAUGUCGAACGGAAAGGCCCUGCUUUUGUGGGGUGCUCGAGUGGCGAACGGGUGAGUAACACGUGAGUAACCUGCCCUUGACUUUGGGAUAACUUCAGGAAACUGGGGCUAAUACCGGAUAGGAGCUCCUGCUGCAUGGUGGGGGUUGGAAAGUUUCGGCGGUUGGGGAUGGACUCGCGGCUUAUCAGCUUGUUGGUGGGGUAGUGGCUUACCAAGGCUUUGACGGGUAGCCGACCUGAGAGGGUGACCGGCCACAUUGGGACUGAGAUACGGCCCAGACUCCUACGGGAGGCAGCAGUGGGGAAUAUUGCACAAUGGGCGGAAGCCUGAUGCAGCAACGCCGCGUGCGGGAUGACGGCCUUCGGGUUGUAAACCGCUUUCGCCUGUGACGAAGCGUGAGUGACGGUAAUGGGUAAAGAAGCACCGGCUAACUACGUGCCAGCAGCCGCGGUGAUACGUAGGGUGCGAGCGUUGUCCGGAUUUAUUGGGCGUAAAGGGCUCGUAGGUGGUUGAUCGCGUCGGAAGUGUAAUCUUGGGGCUUAACCCUGAGCGUGCUUUCGAUACGGGUUGACUUGAGGAGGGUAGGGGAGAAUGGAAUUCCUGGUGGAGCGGUGGAAUGCGCAGAUAUCAGGAGGAACACCAGUGGCGAAGGCGGUUCUCUGGGCCUUUCCUGACGCUGAGGAGCGAAAGCGUGGGGAGCGAACAGGCUUAGAUACCCUGGUAGUCCACGCUGUAAACGGUGGGUACUAGGUGUGGGGUCCAUUCCACGGGUUCCGUGCCGUAGCUAACGCUCUAAGUACCCCGCCUGGGGAGUACGGCCGCAAGGCUAAAACUCAAAGGAAUUGACGGGGCCCCGCACAAGCGGCGGAGCAUGCGGAUUAAUUCGAUGCAACGCGUAGAACCUUACCUGGGUUUGACAUGGAUCGGGAGUGCUCAGAGAUGGGUGUGCCUCUUUUGGGGUCGGUUCACAGGUGGUGCAUGCCUGUCGUCAGCUCGUGUCGUGAGAUGUUGGGUUAAGUCCCGCAACGAGCGCAACCCUUGUUCACUGUUGCCUGCACGUUAUGGUGGGGACUCAGUGGAGACCGCCGGGGUCAACUCGGAGGAAGGUGGGGAUGACGUCAAGUCCUCAUGCCCCUUAUGUCCAGGGCUUCACGCAUGCUACAAUGGCUGGUACAGAGAGUGGCGAGCCUGUGAGGGUGAGCGAAUCUCGGAAAGCCGGUCUCAGUUCGGAUUGGGGUCUGCAACUCGACCUCAUGAAGUCGGAGUCGCUAGUAAUCGCAGAUCAGCAACGCUGCGGUGAAUAAAUUCCCGGGGCU